RNAcentral lists this ribosomal RNA (429 nucleotides) under Chloroflexota bacterium. Its description in RNAcentral is "Chloroflexi bacterium partial 16S ribosomal RNA". It matches the Rfam family "Bacterial small subunit ribosomal RNA", at positions 355 to 776 of the family's 1533-position model. The record is from RNAcentral. Lineage: Bacteria; Bacillati; Chloroflexota.
UGGGGAAUAUUGCACAAUGGGCGCAAGCCUGAUGCAGCCAUGCCGCGUGUGUGAAGAAGGCCUUCGGGUUGUAAAGCACUUUCAGCGGGGAGGAAGGCGGUGAGGUUAAUAACCUCAUCGAUUGACGUUACCCGCAGAAGAAGCACCGGCUAACUCCGUGCCAGCAGCCGCGGUAAUACGGAGGGUGCAAGCGUUAAUCGGAAUUACUGGGCGUAAAGCGCACGCAGGCGGUCUGUCAAGUCGGAUGUGAAAUCCCCGGGCUCAACCUGGGAACUGCAUUCGAAACUGGCAGGCUAGAGUCUUGUAGAGGGGGGUAGAAUUCCAUGUGUAGCGGUGAAAUGCGUAGAGAUCUGGAGGAAUACCGGUGGCGAAGGCGGCCCCCUGGACAAAGACUGACGCUCAGGUGCGAAAGCGUGGGGAGCAAACAGG